Molecule: ribosomal RNA, 446 nt
Filed under: uncultured bacterium
Lineage: Bacteria
Description: partial 16S ribosomal RNA
Rfam family: Bacterial small subunit ribosomal RNA
Source: RNAcentral
CCUACGGGAGGCAGCAGUCGAGAAUCAUUCACAAUGGGGGAAACCCUGAUGGUGCGACGCCGCGUGGGGGAAUGAAGUUCUUCGGAUUGUAAACCCCUGUCAUGUGGGAGCAAAUUAAAAAGAUAGUACCACAAUAGGAAGAGCCGGCUAACUCUGUGCCAGCAGCCGCGGUAAUACAGAGGUCUCAAGCGUUGUUCGGAAUCACUGGGCGUAAAGCGUGCGUAGGCUGUUUCGUAAGUCGUGUGUGAAAGGCGCGGGCUCAACCCGCGGACGGCACAUGAUACUGGGAGACUAGAGUAAGGGAGGGGGAACCGGAAUUCUCGGUGUAGCAGUGAAAUGCGUAGAUAUCGAGAGGAACACUCGUGGCGAAGGCGGGUUCCUGGACAUUAACUGACGCUGAGGCACGAAGGCCAGGGGAGCGAAAGGGAUUAGAUACCCUUGUAGUC